GACGAACGCUGGCGGCGUGCUUAACACAUGCAAGUCGAACGGCCCGGCCCUGCUUUUGUGGGGUGCUCGAGUGGCGAACGGGUGAGUAACACGUGAGUAACCUGCCCUUGACUUUGGGAUAACUUCAGGAAACUGGGGCUAAUACCGGAUAGGAGCUCCUGCUGCAUGGUGGGGGUUGGAAAGUUUCGGCGGUUGGGGAUGGACUCGCGGCUUAUCAGCUUGUUGGUGGGGUAGUGGCUUACCAAGGCUUUGACGGGUAGCCGGCCUGAGAGGGUGACCGGCCACAUUGGGACUGAGAUACGGCCCAGACUCCUACGGGAGGCAGCAGUGGGGAAUAUUGCACAAUGGGCGGAAGCCUGAUGCAGCAACGCCGCGUGCGGGAUGACGGCCUUCGGGUUGUAAACCGCUUUCGCCUGUGACGAAGCGUGAGUGACGGUAAUGGGUAAAGAAGCACCGGCUAACUACGUG
RNAcentral lists this ribosomal RNA (468 nucleotides) under uncultured bacterium. RNAcentral's name for it is "partial 16S ribosomal RNA". It matches the Rfam family "Bacterial small subunit ribosomal RNA", at positions 28 to 507 of the family's 1533-position model. The record is from RNAcentral.